AGAGAUGCUGGCAGCUCUUAAGGUAGCGUUACUCUGCACCGACAGCACACCAGCUAAGCGGCCAAAAAUGAAGAAGGUAGUUGAAAUGCUUCAAGAAAUAAAGCAAAGCUGAUGGAGCCGCCUGUGAAGCUAUUUGAUUCUGCACGGCCUAUAUUUAUUAAGACUAUGGUUAGUGGGCUGUACACAACAUGAGAAGCUUGUUUCUGAAUACAUGAUUCGUUUCUGAUAUGCCUACCUGGAGGAGUAAGACUCACUUUGUAUAUUUCAUUUCGACCUUGGAUUCUGUCCAUUUGCUUUGUACCAAAUUCAGUUCCAGCAAUGGCAACUUGUAAAGUACUAUUUGAGUCAGGAAAAAAAAGAAAGCAGUUGAAGGGUGGAUGGACGG
RNAcentral lists this long non-coding RNA (385 nucleotides) under Populus trichocarpa (black cottonwood). RNAcentral's name for it is "long non-coding RNA (PTRI_LNC001672)". Lineage: Eukaryota; Viridiplantae; Streptophyta; Magnoliopsida; Malpighiales; Salicaceae. The record is from RNAcentral.